Molecule: long non-coding RNA, 365 nt
Organism: Hevea brasiliensis (rubber tree)
Lineage: Eukaryota; Viridiplantae; Streptophyta; Magnoliopsida; Malpighiales; Euphorbiaceae
Exons: 2
Source: RefSeq, a predicted model, not a curated record
CUGGGGAUCGUUGCUUGUUGGUGGAGAGGCUUUUUGAGGAUUAUCUCUUGCACGCUUGUGGGUUGUUCUUAGUGUUCUUCCUUUGCAACAGAAUUUGUCAGAGAGAGAAGACAACGUGAUGCAAUUUGAGAUAUGUUUUUCACAGUUUACCCUGGUUUUUAGUUUUAUUUCUCAGAAAUGCUGAUAUUGAAAAUGAAAUCUAUUCAUUAAGUUUUACAGCUCAACAUAAUUUGUAGCUAUAUGCACUUAUAGUCGUAUUUGUGCAUUCUUAAAUGUUAUAUAGUUUACAUGCUAUUGGGAAAUAUGAAGUAAUUUUCAUGGGAAUUUAGUUUAAUGAAUUUGGGGUUGCACUGGUGUUUUGGUUA